Molecule: ribosomal RNA, 497 nt
Filed under: uncultured bacterium
Lineage: Bacteria
Description: partial 16S ribosomal RNA
Rfam family: Bacterial small subunit ribosomal RNA
Source: RNAcentral
GAUGAACGCUGGCGGCGUGCCUAAUACAUGCAAGUCGAGCGAACAGACGAGGAGCUUGCUCCUCUGACGUUAGCGGCGGACGGGUGAGUAACACGUGGAUAACCUACCUAUAAGACUGGGAUAACUUCGGGAAACCGGAGCUAAUACCGGAUAAUAUAUUGAACCGCAUGGUUCAAUAGUUAAAGACGGUUUUGCUGUCACUUAUAGAUGGAUCCGCGCCGCUUUAGCUAGUUGGUAAGGUAACGGCUUACCAAGGCAACGAUGCGUAGCCGACCUGAGAGGGUGAUCGGCCACACUGGAACUGAGACACGGUCCAGACUCCUACGGGAGGCAGCAGUAGGGAAUCUUCCGCAAUGGGCGAAAGCCUGACGGAGCAACGCCGCGUGAGUGAUGAAGGUCUUCGGAUCGUAAAACUCUGUUAUUAGGGAAGAACAAAUGUGUAAGUAACUAUGCACGUCUUGACGGUACCUAAUCAGAAAGCCACGGCUAACUACGUG